This 253-nucleotide ribosomal RNA is filed under the name uncultured bacterium. Its description in RNAcentral is "partial 16S ribosomal RNA". It matches the Rfam family "Bacterial small subunit ribosomal RNA", at positions 524 to 776 of the family's 1533-position model. The record is from RNAcentral.
UACGAAGGGGGCUAGCGUUGUUCGGAAUUACUGGGCGUAAAGCGCACGUAGGCGGGUCGUUAAGUCAGGGGUGAAAUCCCGGAGCUCAACUCCGGAACUGCCUUUGAUACUGGCGAUCUAGAGAUCGAGAGAGGUGAGUGGAAUUCCGAGUGUAGAGGUGAAAUUCGUAGAUAUUCGGAAGAACACCAGUGGCGAAAGCGGCCACCUGGACUGUACCUGACGCUGACACGCGAAAGCUAGGGGAGCGAACGGG